Molecule: non-coding RNA, 375 nt
Organism: Scomber scombrus (Atlantic mackerel)
Lineage: Eukaryota; Metazoa; Chordata; Actinopteri; Scombriformes; Scombridae
Source: the annotation of a RefSeq genome assembly
AUGUUCUCUGUAGCUCUGCUGCUGCUGCUGGCUGCUGGAUCCUGUGUGAAGUGUGAACAGUUGACACAGCCAGCCUCAGUGACUGUGCAGCCUGGUCAACGUCUGACCAUCACCUGUCAGGUCUCUUAUUCUGUUAGCAGCUAUGCUAAAGCUUGGAUCAGACAGCCUACAGGGAAAGGACUGGAGUGGAUUGGAUGGAAAUAUACUGGAGGUUCAUACUAUAAAGAUUCACUAAUUCACACAAAUGUCAAAGAUUCAGUGAAGAACAAGUUCAGUGUCAACUUAGACUCUUCCAGCAAAACAGUGACUCUAAAUGGACAGAAUAUGCAGCCUGAAGACACUGCUGUGUAUUACUGUGCCAGAGACCCACAAUAA